GUUAAAUAAUUGGUGUAUGCUGUCAAUACUCCAUAGCAUUAUAGUGUUAUAGGUUAUGAACAUUGGAUCUUCUGUGUCAAAUAUUUUUGCUAGUUUUUAGAAAUUCAUGCAUAAAAUGGGUAUCAUUGCCUCCCAAAGGGGAAAACACAAAGAAAAUAUAGAUUCAAUAUAUUGUUUGUAGCAGAUAGAAAUCUUUGAGUUAUUGGACCUAAUUCCUGUCUGAUUCAUUCCUUAAGUGCUUUGAGCCAAUCUCAUUGCAUGUAGAAAGAAUUAUUUGUCUUUGGAACUAAAAUACAUUGUCUCCCCUAUUUAUUUAUCACUAAUGCCUGAUUCACAUAUGCUGGCAGAGUAGGUCUUAUAGCUAAUAGUCACAAACUAUCAAGUACGUAAUGCUUUCUGCUUCCCAGAUUUUGUGUCUCUCUGCGUUUGGUUGUGUGCAUACAUGAUACAUAUACACAUCUUUUUGUGCUGAGGAGCUGCUAGUGCUAUGGUUUGAUUUCCAUUUUUAGUAGUUAAGUCUUUGGACUGAAUGGUAACAUGUUCUCCUUGGUUCUGUACUUUUUGUAACAAUUGUAACUGGAGAUGAUGAAAUUGGAUUUGAAUUGUGGGUAUUGAAUAUUGAUGCUUCCCCCUAGUUAUAGUUCCUUUGGGCUCAAUUUGUUGUACCAAUUAUAUUAUUUUUGAUAAGUAUGAGGAUCAAGGAUUUAUUCUGAGUUUAUUUUUGGGGAUUUGUCAAUUUUGUAAGUUUAACAACUUUGAACUUUAUUUAUAAGUGGGUCAAUCCUAUUUCCUGUGCAAUAAUUUCAAGGCACAGCCUAUUGCACAAACAGUGAUGUCUUCUUGAAGAAACUCAUGAUUGAUUUCAUUUCUUUCUUGAUAUUAUUUUUUUGUUUAACAAUUAUUGCUUUAUACAGCCAUGUCUUCUAAUCUGGGCCAGAAUGCUAUUAAUAUUGCAACAUGAUAAUUUUGCUUGGGCUAACAAUUUGUUAGAGAAUAGUUGCCUGAAUGGCUGAAUGAUGCUGUUUCAUGCGUGCAAUGAUGCCUCCUACUGAAAAAAAAGCUUAAUCCAUAGUUGGAGAACGGAAAAUGAUAGUCUAAAAAAAGAAGAGGAAUUGUGCCUAAUCCUAAACAAUUUCAAAGCAUGAGUGGAAGUGUACAUCUUGAAUUUAGGCUUCUGAAUGUUGGGUAUGAGCAGAACUAGUGCUUUUUAGUUGUAGGAUAUCCUUGUAGACUUGUAUAUAUCUGCUGUGUGCUCCUAUCUGUUCAAGGCUGCUAGAGUGGGGCCCUUUUUGCUUUUCCUUUAGUAUUUGGUUUGCAUGGGUCAGUGAAAGUGAAGAAAUCUUUCUUGAUAUUUGCACUGCUUGUUUAAGUGUUUCUUGUGGUGGAAAAAAUGAGUCAUAUUCUAAUCUAGGACUGCAUUUGUUACUACAAUUGUCGCUUUUAUUUUGCACAUGUAGAAUUGAAUAUUUUCAUUUUUCACAAAAGUUAUUGGCUUUAGUUUUACCAUGUAAUUUGUAGCUCAUUGCAAACUUUGCUGGGACUAAUAUUCUAGUUACGGCGAAUUUAAAACUUCUUUAAGCCAGAUAUCAUGUGAUUCUGAUCCUGUGGGCUUAUCUUUUGCAAUGAUUUUUCAAAAUUAUUUACGUCAAAUGCAUUAAUUGAAUACAUUCUCCAUUUCUAAAAUAUAAAUUGUUUAGUUUUUUUUUCCUUUCUUCUUCUUUUUUUAACAGAUGGUGCGUCCUUGAUAUCA
Molecule: unclassified non-coding RNA, 1750 nt
Filed under: Hevea brasiliensis (rubber tree)
Lineage: Eukaryota; Viridiplantae; Streptophyta; Magnoliopsida; Malpighiales; Euphorbiaceae
Source: RNAcentral